GAUGAACGCUGGCGGCGUGCCUAAUACAUGCAAGUCGAGCGAACAGACGAGGAGCUUGCUCCUCUGACGUUAGCGGCGGACGGGUGAGUAACACGUGGAUAACCUACCUAUAAGACUGGGAUAACUUCGGGAAACCGGAGCUAAUACCGGAUAACAUGUUGAACCACAUGGUUCAACAGUGAAAGACGGUCUUGCUGUCACUUAUAGAUGGAUCCGCGCCGCAUUAGCUAGUUGGUAAGGUAACGGCUUACCAAGGCAACGAUGCGUAGCCGACCUGAGAGGGUGAUCGGCCACACUGGAACUGAGACACGGUCCAGACUCCUACGGGAGGCAGCAGUAGGGAAUCUUCCACAAUGGGCGAAAGCCUGACGGAGCAACGCCGCGUGAGUGAAGAAGGUCUUCGGAUCGUAAAACUCUGUUAUUAGGGAAGAACAAAUGUGUAAGUAACUAUGCACGUCUUGACGGUACCUAAUCAGAAAGCCACGGCUAACUACGUG
RNAcentral lists this ribosomal RNA (497 nucleotides) under uncultured bacterium. Its description in RNAcentral is "partial 16S ribosomal RNA". It matches the Rfam family "Bacterial small subunit ribosomal RNA", at positions 28 to 507 of the family's 1533-position model. The record is from RNAcentral.